UGGGGAAUAUUGCACAAUGGGCGAAAGCCUGAUGCAGCAACGCCGCGUGAGUGAUGAAGGCCUUCGGGUUGUAAAGCUCUGUCUUCUGGGACGAUAAUGACGGUACCAGAGGAGGAAGCCACGGCUAACUACGUGCCAGCAGCCGCGGUAAUACGUAGGUGGCAAGCGUUGUCCGGAUUUACUGGGCGUAAAGGAUGCGUAGGCGGAUACUUAAGUCAGAUGUGAAAAUCCCGGGCUUAACUUGGGAACUGCAUUUGAAACUGGGUAUCUAGAGUGCGGGAGAGNAAAGUGGAAUUCCUAGUGUAGCGGUGAAAUGCGUAGAUAUUAGGAGGAACACCAGUGGCGAAGGCGACUUACUGGACUGUAACUGACGCUGAGGCGCGAAAGCGUGGGGAGCAAACA
RNAcentral lists this ribosomal RNA (402 nucleotides) under uncultured bacterium. Its description in RNAcentral is "bacterial SSU rRNA". It matches the Rfam family "Bacterial small subunit ribosomal RNA", at positions 355 to 774 of the family's 1533-position model. The record is from RNAcentral.